GCAAGUCGAGCGGUAACAUUUCCAGCUUGCUGGAAGAUGACGAGCGGCGGACGGGGGAGUAACGCGUAGGGAUCUACCGAGUAGUGGGGGGCAACCAGUGGAAACGCUGGCUAAUACCGCAUACGCCCUACGGGGGAAAGCAUGGGAUCUUCGGACCUUGCGCUAUACGAUGUGCCUGCGUGAGAUUAGCUUGUUGGUGAGGUAAUGGCUCACCAAGGCGACGAUCUCUAGCUGGUCUGAGAGGAUGAUC
RNAcentral lists this ribosomal RNA (250 nucleotides) under uncultured bacterium. RNAcentral's name for it is "partial 16S ribosomal RNA". It matches the Rfam family "Bacterial small subunit ribosomal RNA", at positions 57 to 305 of the family's 1533-position model. The record is from RNAcentral.